UACAGUCAUAUCACAUCAAAACACAGAUUCUCUUGCGAACAACGAAGUUAAGGAACGUUGAGCCUGGCUAGUACCUAGAUGGGUGGACGUUUGGGAAUACGAGGUA
Non-coding RNA from Acanthosepion pharaonis, 106 nucleotides. The record is from the annotation of a GenBank genome assembly. Lineage: Eukaryota; Metazoa; Mollusca; Cephalopoda; Sepiida; Sepiidae.